CCGCGGUAAGACGAACCGUACAAACGUUAUUCGGAAUCACUGGGCUUAAAGGGUGCGUAGGCGGCGGUGCAAGUUGGGUGUGAAAUCCCUCGGCUCAACCGAGGAACUGCGCUCAAAACUGCGUCGCUUGAGGGAGAUAGAGGUGAGUGGAACUUAGGGUGGAGCGGUGAAAUGCGUUGAUAUCCUAAGGAACACCAGUGGCGAAAGCGACUCACUGGGUCUCUUCUGACGCUGAGGCACGAAAGCUAGG
Molecule: ribosomal RNA, 250 nt
Filed under: uncultured bacterium
Lineage: Bacteria
Description: partial 16S ribosomal RNA
Rfam family: Bacterial small subunit ribosomal RNA
Source: RNAcentral